This 24-nucleotide non-coding RNA is filed under the name Cricetulus griseus (Chinese hamster). The record is from RNAcentral. Lineage: Eukaryota; Metazoa; Chordata; Mammalia; Rodentia; Cricetidae.
UCCAACAAAGGUUGUAAGAACUGC